Molecule: unclassified non-coding RNA, 286 nt
Filed under: Hevea brasiliensis (rubber tree)
Lineage: Eukaryota; Viridiplantae; Streptophyta; Magnoliopsida; Malpighiales; Euphorbiaceae
Source: RNAcentral
GGCCAAGAUCGAAGUAUUUUAUAUCCAACUCCAGAAAAGGCAAGAUGAGCUUAUCCUUAAUUAAUUUCCAAAUGACACGGGUCAUUUCAUCUCCGUCCAUUUCAACUAUGGGGUUAGCCACUUUGAUCUUUUGGAAAGCCAUUUUCAGUGAAAAAUUGAGAUCAAGAACUGGAAAUUCUGGUACUAUAAAGAGUAAUGGUGUUUGAUAAAGAAAAUUUCGCCUGCGGGAGAAGCUUAAAUUGUAACGAAAUGGGGAAAAAAUAAUAUUAUUUUGGAGGGGUUGAAG